Long non-coding RNA from Carassius gibelio (silver crucian carp), 635 nucleotides. RefSeq lists it as uncharacterized. The transcript is spliced from 2 exons. Lineage: Eukaryota; Metazoa; Chordata; Actinopteri; Cypriniformes; Cyprinidae. The record is from RefSeq and is a predicted model, not a curated record.
GGGACUUCAGGAGCCUGAUCGAGACGGUUCGCAGCACGACGCCCGCAGCGACGAUCGUCGUGUCAGGACCACUGCCCACGUAUCGACGAGGACACGAAAGGUUCAGUAGACUUUUUGCUUUAAAUGAAUGGUUGUUGUCAUGGUGUAAAGAACAGAAACUGCUAUUUGUUAAUAACUGGAAUCUUUUCUGGGAGCGUCCUAGACUGUUUCGCGCUGAUGGAUUACACCCCAGUCGAGUCGGAGCGGAGCUUCUCUCUGACAACAUCUCCAGGACACUUCGCUCCAUGUGACUAGAUUUACACAAGCUCCAGUCUGGAUCCAGAACACCUGAGAAGAGAUGAUGCUGACCCUCAGAGGACCCCAGAUGAUGCUAACCCUGAAUGAACAAACAGAACUAACAAUUAUUCCUAAUUGUGUGACUUAAUCAUAUAAUAACUUAAUAAUAUUGAUAGUUCAUCGUCUAGCUGACUACGUCUUGUAUUAUUAUAAUUUUUUAGUUUUUCUAAAAUCCUGUCAAAUGUGCACAAACUACUAGCUACUACUAAAUAUUGUAGAAACAUAAUUUUCUGUAAAGUUGCUUUGUAACGAUUUGUUUUGUAAAAAGCGCUAUACAAAUAAACUUGAAUUGAAUUGAA